Gavialis gangeticus (Gharial) is the source of this 1083-nucleotide long non-coding RNA. RefSeq lists it as uncharacterized. The record is from RefSeq and is a predicted model, not a curated record. Lineage: Eukaryota; Metazoa; Chordata; Crocodylia; Gavialidae. The transcript has 2 exons.
UCCUAGAAAAAAACCAAAUAAAAAAAAAAUCUUCAGUUAAAUGGCACAAUAUAUACCUAGUCUAUAAAUUGUGGUUUUGCUUCAUACUCUUACUCUUUUGACAGGCAUCAAAAGCUUUGUACAAGCUCACAUAUAUGCCGGCUAUGCUUGGCAAAUGGCCCUCUGCUAGAAGCAUUUCAGUUACCUGUUCACGGAAAGUGGGAGAACCAGACAGUAACAUUCAAUGGGGAUUCUGAAUUUCUUUGGCAACCAAACUCCUCACUCCAGUUUACUGUUGUGUCUUUGCAACUGCUGCAGACUAACAUGCAUUAUGAUCCAGAACUCCCCAAGUCAUACUUUUUCAUUUAGUUAUAAAGAGAAACAUUAAGAAAAUUAUAAAAUAUUUACAUAAAUAGGGAAGGGAAUAAGUAUACCAGUAACGCUUAUAAACUAGAAGAAAAAAAUUCACUGUAAUGUGUAAAGGAUUGAGGUCAGGUUGCUCACUCAGGACUCAGAACUUCCAUUACUUGCAGAGUACAAAAUAGUGACUGAACAUUAUAUUAUUGAGCUAGACUGAUUUAGCAUAGCCAGACAGUUUAAGGAAUAGGGUCACUGUAUGAAAAAUGUAAAGGUCUCUUAAUACCUCUCAACUAAAUAGAGUUUAACCCUCCAUUUAUCACAAAGGGAUCAAAAAACAAAUUGCUCUGAAAGCCAAGUCUGGAUUCUAAUGGGAACUUACAUUUCAGAAUCCCUGCUUGAGAACAUCCUACCAUUUGCACUGGGAUUUAUCAAAGGUUUGAAAGCCUCAGGAGUUAAACCAUGAGUUCUUACAGCUGUGCCAGAUUACACUUUUAGCUAGCUGCUGGAAAAGGUGCCUGUCUAAUUCAGCCAUCUUGAAGUCAAUGUUAUAAAUGGGAACUAAUAAGACCUCUCAGAACAGUGAAGGACUAGGGCUGUCUACAUUACAAUUUACUUAAGGCUUAAGAGGGCUAAAAAAAGCUGUCACAAGUUAGCUCCGGUUGCAUCACCACAGCAAUUUUUAUGCCAUUGUGCUUAUAUGCUUCCUUAUCACUGGGGAUUCUGUUUUCUCUGAUCAAAAAAAAA